Molecule: ribosomal RNA, 429 nt
Filed under: bacterium
Lineage: Bacteria
Description: partial 16S ribosomal RNA
Rfam family: Bacterial small subunit ribosomal RNA
Source: RNAcentral
UGGGGAAUUUUGGACAAUGGGCGAAAGCCUGAUCCAGCAAUGCCGCGUGUGUGAAGAAGGCCUUCGGGUUUUAAAGCACUUUUGUCCGGAAAGAAAUGGCUCUGGUUAAUACCUGGGGUCGAUGACGGUACCGGAAGAAUAAGGACCGGCUAACUACGUGCCAGCAGCCGCGGUAAUACGUAGGGUCCAAGCGUUAAUCGGAAUUACUGGGCGUAAAGCGUGCGCAGGCGGUUGUGCAAGACCGAUGUGAAAUCCCCGAGCUUAACUUGGGAAUUGCAUUGGUGACUGCACGGCUAGAGUGUGUCAGAGGAGGGUAGAAUUCCACGUGUAGCAGUGAAAUGCGUAGAGAUGUGGAGGAAUACCGAUGGCGAAGGCAGCCCCCUGGGAUAACACUGACGCUCAUGCACGAAAGCGUAGGGAGCAAACAGG